This 253-nucleotide ribosomal RNA is filed under the name uncultured bacterium. RNAcentral describes it as "partial 16S ribosomal RNA". It matches the Rfam family "Bacterial small subunit ribosomal RNA", at positions 524 to 776 of the family's 1533-position model. The record is from RNAcentral.
AACGUAGGAGGCAAGCGUUAUCCGGAUUUAUUGGGCGUAAAGGGCGCGUAGGCGGCCUGGCAAGUGGAUGGUGAAAUCCCUCGGCUUAACCGAGGAACUGCCAUCCAGACUGCUUGGCUUGAGACCGGGAGAGGUGAGUGGAAUUCCCAGUGUAGCGGUGAAAUGCGUAGAUAUUGGGAGGAACACCAGUGGCGAAGGCGGCUCACUGGACCGGUACUGACGCUGAGGCGCGAAAGCGUGGGGAGCAAACGGG